This 681-nucleotide ribosomal RNA is filed under the name Micrococcus sp. B01. RNAcentral describes it as "bacterial SSU rRNA". It matches the Rfam family "Bacterial small subunit ribosomal RNA", at positions 26 to 720 of the family's 1533-position model. Lineage: Bacteria; Bacillati; Actinomycetota; Actinomycetes; Micrococcales; Micrococcaceae. The record is from RNAcentral.
AGGAUGAACGCUGGCGGCGUGCUUAACACAUGCAAGUCGAACGAUGAAGCCCAGCUUGCUGGGUGGAUUAGUGGCGAACGGGUGAGUAACACGUGAGUAACCUGCCCUUAACUCUGGGAUAAGCCUGGGAAACUGGGUCUAAUACCGGAUAGGAGCGCCUACCGCAUGGUGGGUGUUGGAAAGAUUUAUCGGUUUUGGAUGGACUCGCGGCCUAUCAGCUUGUUGGUGAGGUAAUGGCUCACCAAGGCGACGACGGGUAGCCGGCCUGAGAGGGUGACCGGCCACACUGGGACUGAGACACGGCCCAGACUCCUACGGGAGGCAGCAGUGGGGAAUAUUGCACAAUGGGCGAAAGCCUGAUGCAGCGACGCCGCGUGAGGGAUGACGGCCUUCGGGUUGUAAACCUCUUUCAGUAGGGAAGAAGCGAAAGUGACGGUACCUGCAGAAGAAGCACCGGCUAACUACGUGCCAGCAGCCGCGGUAAUACGUAGGGUGCGAGCGUUAUCCGGAAUUAUUGGGCGUAAAGAGCUCGUAGGCGGUUUGUCGCGUCUGUCGUGAAAGUCCGGGGCUUAACCCCGGAUCUGCGGUGGGUACGGGCAGACUAGAGUGCAGUAGGGGAGACUGGAAUUCCUGGUGUAGCGGUGGAAUGCGCAGAUAUCAGGAGGAACACCGAUGGCGAAG